This 17945-nucleotide long non-coding RNA is filed under the name Nicotiana tabacum (common tobacco). Its description in RNAcentral is "long non-coding RNA (NTAB_LNC005634)". The record is from RNAcentral. Lineage: Eukaryota; Viridiplantae; Streptophyta; Magnoliopsida; Solanales; Solanaceae.
CAUAACAUAAACCACCCAGAACUGGUGUCACAAUCUCAUGGACUAUCUAAGAAAACUCCAAAUAAUGUCUGAACAAGAAAGUACAUGUCUGUCUUUGGAAUAUAUAAGAACAAAAAGAAAGUAGAUAUGGAGGGAACGCCAAGACCUGCGGACGCCUAUAAGUCUACCUCGGGUCUCCUGAUGGACUGAAGGUAGCAACCCCUAGCUAAGGUCUGUAUGCUCUAGUAUCGAGAUCUGCACACAGUGCAGAGUGUAGUAUCAACACAACCGACCCCAUAUGCUGGUAAGUGUCGAGCCUAACCUCGGCGAAGUAGUGAUGAGUCUAGGACGAGACUACCAAAUAAGCCUGUGCAGUUAAAGCAUAUAAGAUAAGCAAUAAAAAUGGAAACUAGCAGUUAAAGAUUGGAAAAGGAGCAUGCUGCGGGGGAUAUCAAGUAACAACAGUAACUCAGAAGAAAAACAUAAAGAACAUUUUAAGGUUUGCAUCAGUAAGAAUAAGGAAACAACAAUAAGUCAAUAUCAACUCUUAUAAUUUAUUGGUGCGGCGCGCAACCCAAUCCAAAUAAUAUAACACUGUUGCGACGUGCAACCCAAUAUAAUCAUAUAUCAUUAUUGUGGCGUGCAACCCAAUCCAAUAAUAUAUCAUUGUUGCGGUGUGCAACCCGACCCCUCCUGUCCUCCCUUAUUACUCCACGUUGUAGUGUGCAACCCAAUUCUAUAUAAUGUUGUUGCGGUGUGCAACCCGAUCCCAUUAUACAAUUCAACACCAAUCACAAAAGAAUCCCAACAAGGGAACAAUAAGGAAACAACAAUAUCCCGGCAAGGAAAUCAACAAUGAGAAUAAACACAUCCUGGCAAGGGAACCAACAGUAAGAAGUAAAUACGUCCCAGCAAGGGAAUCAGCUAUAACCAAACUUGUUCCAAUAUUUAACCUCACAAAAGAAGCCUCAACUAGAGCCAAUACUAAACCAUAAACAAUUGCCACGAGAAUAAUCAUAAUUCUUACCCAACACCGAGAAUCAACAACUUAGGCAUUUGUAGUACUUAUUAAGAACACAACGAUUUCAAUUUAAGACUCACGUGCAUGCUUGACAACGGCGCAUUGAUACUCGUCACUACACUUAUACGUCGUACACUACAAUAGCACAUAGCAAAUAUAGCACGAUACCUAUUCCCUCAAGCUAAGGUUAGACCAAACACUUACCUCGAAUUUUCACAGCCAACUCAAGCCUCGAACACCACUUUUUCCUUUAUAAUUCGCCUCCAAAUUACUUUUAUCUAGUCCAAAUUAAUUUACCAACAUCAAUAAAUGCUAAGGAAUCCAUACCCAAUAUCCCCAAAAAGUCAAAAAUUGACCCCAGGCCCUCUUGGCCAAAAUUCGAGGUUCGGAUCAAAACCCAAUCAUGCAUUCACCACGAGCCCAAAUAUGCAAUUAAUUUCGAAAUCCAACCCCAAAAUGAGGUCUAAAUUAAGAUUAUUCAAAAAGCCCUAGCUCUACCCAAAUCCCCAAUUUCUACCAUAAAAACUCUAGAUUUUUUGAUGAAGAUUGAUGAAAUUCAAUGGGAAAUCGAAAGAAAAAGGUUUAGAAUCAUAUACCAAUGCUUUAGGGAAGAACUUGUCUCUUGAAAAUUGCCUCAAUUCUCUCUAGUUUUGAAGAUAUGAAGUAAAUGGGUUUUGCCCGUUUUUUUGCUACUGUUUUAAAAAUGACUGGGCAGGCCUUCAUCGUGUUCGCGAUGGGCCUAUCACAUUCGAGAUGGGUCAGGCCUAGAUGGCCAUCGCGUUUGCAUUCAAUGGCUCGCGUUCGCGGAGUUUCAGCUCCUCAAGCCUUCGCGUUUGCGGUCAGGUGGCCACGUUCGUGUAGAACAAUUUGAAACCCCUCCCCCAGGCCCACUAACCCUAUGCGUUCACGAGAGCCUGAACACGUUCGCAAAGGGUAACUCCCCCAAAAGCUUCGCGUUCACGUCCUGAGCUCCACAUUCGCGAAGAACAAACUGGCACCUGAGGAAAAUUGCCUUACGCGUUCGCUAGUGGAGCCAUGCAAAUGCGAAGAACAAAAUCUCUGUGCACCCGAGACAACAAAACCUGCAACUUUUCUAAGUGUAAAAACAUCCCGAAACCUAUCCGAAACUCACCCAAGCCCUCGGGGCUCCAAACCAAACAUGCAUACUAACCCAACAACAUCAUAUGGACUUACUCGUGUGAUCAAAUCGCCAAAUUAACACCUUUUACAAUGAAUUUAGCAUUAAAAUCAAAGAAGAAUCCCAAGAACUCUUAAGUUAAAAUUUUAACAACUGAGGGUCCGAUUCACGUAAUUUCAAGUCCGUUUCUUACAAAAUUUUACAGGCUCAACCUAAUACCAUAUAAGACCUGUACCGAGCUCUGAAACUAAAAUACGGGCCCAAUACCAUCAAUUUCAAAUACAUUCAAAUUACUAAAAAUAGUUAAAAUUUCAGUUAAACAAUUUCCUUCAAAAAUUUAUUUCUCGGGCUUGGGACCUCGGAAUUCAAUUUCGGGCUUACACCCAAGUCCCAUAUUUUUCUACGGACCCUCCAGGACCGUCAAAUUACGGGUCUGAGUCUGUUUAUCCAAAAUAUUGAUCUAAGUCAACUUAAAUUUAAUUUUAAGGCCAAAUUAGCAUUUUCAUCAAAUUGUCACAUAAAAGCGUUCCAGAUGUACGCCCAGAGUGCGCACACAAAUCGAGGUAAGAUAAAAGGAGGGUUUUAAGACCUCAGAAUGCAGAAUUUACUUGUAAAUCAAAAAGGUCAUCACAUUUAUUAUUUCAUUUUGUGAUUCCUGUAUCAUCUAAAUAAAUAGAGAUGGACUUAUUUAAUCAUGGGAACAUUUCACAUUACUGAAAUAGUUUCUCAAGAUAGUUCCCAGCACAACUCAAGCUAAUUCGUGUAUCUACUUACAAAUAAUAUUAUUGUAGUAUUAUUAUCGUUAUUUUCCGGUGUCAUUUUCCUACACUCUAUGAAACUAUGACAAGUAAUACUACUCUGAAAUUUUUUGAUGGUACUAUCAUUUUUGGUGUUGUCUCCACUGCUACUCUUCUAGCUGUCCUGAUAGAUAUCUACGGUGUUGCAAAUACGUUAUUGCAUCCACAACUUUGGCAGAUAGUAAUGUCAAAGCACAGGUAUGUGAAUAGACAUGGUUACAUAUCCAAUACUAAUAUUAAAAUCUUCAAAAAAAUUGCACCUCAAUGCAAGAGAAGAGUUGUGACAAUUGAUAAUCUUGCUAAGUCAAAAUUAAAUUUGACUAAAGAAUUGUUGCGGCCAUUUCCCAAAUAAAUAAUAUGGCCAAUGUGAGAAAUUGUGUGAUACACCCAAGUUGAGGAAGGAGAAGAAACUAUUUAUCUUGAUGAUUCAAGAACAACUUGUGUUCUUGGGAAUGUAAAAAUUCCUCUCAAACUCAUAUUUCGUAAAACUCUAGCAUUGAGAGAUGUAUUGCACUAAUAUCCAAACCAAUUUGAUUUCUGUGGGGUUAUUAAGAAAAGUUGGAGCGAAGGUUUUAUUUUAAAAUAAUGAGGUCGUAUUGACCAAAAAUGAUAUUUUGUGGGCAAUGGAUAUUGUAACCAUGGUUUAUUUAUGCUUAAUAUUUCUAAUACUAGCUAUGAAAAUGCAUCUUCUUCUGCUUAUAUGGUUGAGUCUGUUUUUCUAUGACAUGCUAGACUAAGACAUGUUAAUGUCGCGUAUAUAAAGAAAAUGCAGUCACUAGGAUUAAUAUCUGGUUUCAACUCAAAUAAUAUUGGCAAAUGUGAAAUAUGUGCUGAAGCUAAAUGUGACGGCCCGACCAGUCGUCUCAUGAGUUAGUGCCUGUUUCCCUAUUUCUGCUUCUUUAUACUUUGUUUGUCCGUGUCAUGUGGUAUCAGGUUGGUCGGAUCGAAUCCGUAAUGAUUUUGGUAAGGUUUGGGACACAUAGUCUCUUUUGACGAAGCUUGAGUUAGAAAAGUCAACUGGAUAUUGACUUAUGUGUUAGAGGGCUCGGAUGUGAGUUAUGAAGGUUCGGUUAGCUUCGCUAGGUGAUUUGUGACUUAGAAGUGUGAUCAGAAUGGGUUUUGGAGGUCUAGAGUAGAUUUAUGCUUGAAUUGGCGAAUUUGAUAUUUUGGCGAUUUCUAGUUGAUAGGCAAGAUUUUGAUAUAAGGGCCGGAACGCAAUUCCGAGAGUUGCAGUAGUUUCGUUGUGUGAUUUGCGAUGUGUGCAAAAUUUCAGGUCAUUCGGACGAGUUUGGUUGGGUUUUUGCUCGAAAGCCUAAUUUGGAGGAUUUUAGGAAAUUUGGCUUGAAUCUGAUGUGUUUUGGGUGAUUUGAUGUUGUUUGAGGUGUUUUGAUGAUUGGAACAAGUUUGAAUAAGGUAUUAGAAUAUGUUUGUGCUUUUGGUUGAGGUCCCGGGGACCUCGGGGUGAUUUCGGAUGGUUGACGGAAAGGUUUGAGACUUGUGAAAUUUGCAGAAUCUCAACUGCUUUUGGUAUUUCCGCACCUGCGGAUUGGGGACCGCAGGUGCGACGCCGCAAGUGCAGAAGAUAGGCCGCAUAAUCAAAAAAAGGUCUAGAGGAGCAGGAACUGCAGAAGCGGUUAAUGGGACUGCAUCUGCGAAUCCGCAGAUGCGGAUAAGGGAUCGCAGAAGCAAGAGUGCCUGGAAAGGCAGCAACCGCAGAUGUGGUGGAUGGACCGCACCUGCGAAGGCGCAGAUGCGGAAGAUUGAUCGCAAAAGCGGUUUGGUCCAUUAAGUGGUUUCCGCAGAAGCGGAAGAAGAACCGCAAAUGCGAUACCGCAAAAGUGGGUAUUGGGCCGCAUAGGCAGAAGGUAUAAAUUGUAGCCUUCGCGAAUUUUGAGCUAUUUCACCAUUUUUAUCUCGGCUUGGGAGCUUUUUGGGCGAUUUAAAAGAGGAAUUUCAAGGGAACUUCAUUGAGGUAAGGAACUUGGACCUAAAACUCAUUCCUAUGCUAUUAUUUCAUGGAUUAGAGCUAGAAAUUAUGGAAAUUAAAGGUUAAAAUUGGGAAAACUAGUGCUUGGAAACUUAGGUAUUUAAUUGUGGAUUUGAAGGACCAUUUGGGGUCGGAUUUCUGAACUUUUGAUAUGUAUGAACUUGUAGGGACAUAAGGAAUCUAUUGAUGUAAAAAUUAUUGAAUUUCGAGACGUGGGCCCGGAGGUCGGGUUUUGGUAAUUUCGGGAUUUGUGUCAUUUAUUGAUUGUUUUCUCUUGGUCUUCGUUCCACUAGCAUAUUUUGACGUCCGCGUUCUGAUUUUGGAUAGAUUCGACGCGAGUGGAGGCCGAUUCGAGGGGCAAAGGCAUCACGAGCUAGAGAUUUGACCGGUUCGAGGUGAGUAAUGAUUGUAAAUGAUGUUUUGAGGGUUUUAAACCCCGGAUUGCACAUCGUAGUGCUAUAUUGAGGUGAGGCACACGCUUGAUGACGAGUGGUCUAUCACUACUGAUGAUUUUAUGGUGUAUUUGACUAAAAUCCAUUUGUUUUCAUCAUUAUUUGGGAUGAAGGCUAUAUUUGGGCCUAGUGCUAACUAUUUGAACCCUUCGGGGCUUUUUAUUGUUAUUUCCUCACUAUUUUGACUUUAUACUUGAACUCAGUCAUGUUAUUUUCCAUUGUUUUCAUAUUUAGCCACAUUUGCUCAAUUUUAAGACUUAAAUGAUAUUUUAAAUGAUGUUUGGGUUGAGAAACACUAUUUUACUAUUGCUCGAGGGGCUUGUGAGGAUUUUUGACUGAGUAAGGCCGACGGCCUAUGUUGUGAGGAAACAUUUGAUACUGAUUAUGAGGCCGAGGGCAUGAGAUAUGUAUGCCACGAGGUGGGUUGAUUGAUAUGAGGCCGAGGGCCUAGUUUUGAUGCCACGAGAUGGCUUGAUAUUGCGCUUGGGCCGUAAGGGGCCCCUCCAGGAGUCUGUAUACCCCAGUGAGUGCGGGUACCCAUUGUGAUGUGAGAUUGAGCCCGAGGGGCGGAUUUGUUGAUACUGUGCCCGAGGGGAGAACUUCUAUUUGUUUACUUUACCUUAACUACCUGUCAAUAACCUAUUUAAUUGAUGGAAAAGGAUUGUUACUUAAAUUUUCAUUGGUUUACUGUUUUUUAAUGUUUCACUACUUCAUUAUAGAAUGUCUUGUGCCUUACGUGUUUUCUUACUUUCAGUCGUUAUUUACAUUUGUUACCUACUGAGUUGGAGUACUCACUUUAUUCCGUGCACCCCUGUGUGCAGAUUCAGGCGUUGCUGAUCCUGCCAGUGCAAGUUGAGAGCUCCCGGCGGACAUUCGGAGUUCACGAGGUAGCUGUUGGCGUCCGCAACCCCGUGUCUCUACUCCUUUAUCACUUCUAUCACUUUUCAGAUAGUUGUACUAGUUUAUUGUCUUAGCGGAUUUGUAUUAUGACUUAUAGAUUCUCAUGACUAGUGACACCCCGGUUAGGGCUAUGUAUGGGUGUUCUUCCACGUAUUUAUAUUAUCAUUGUUAUUUUGAAUUUAAUUUAUCAUGUUUAGAUCGUUUCUUAAAUGCUUAACUGUUAAUAAUUGGAAAAUGGGAAGUGUCGACUGGCCUUGUCUUCACGAGAGGCUCCAUCACAACCAGAUUCGAAUUAGGGUCGUCACACUAAAAGUACUAGAAAGACUUAUUUUUUUGUAAAUAGAGAAACCAAUUUGUUAUCCUUUAUUCACACUGAUUUAGACGAUUAAAACAUACUAUGACUAGAGGUGGUAAAAGAUAUUACGUGACUUUUAUUGAUUAUUUUUCUAGAUAUAUUAAGUUGUAUUAGCUUAAAAAUAAAGAUGAUGCUUUUAUUUCUUAUAAAAUUGAGGGUGAAAAUCAACUUUGUAGAAAAAUCAUGAGAAUUAGAUCUGAUAGAGGUGGAGAAAAUUUUCUUUAAAUGAUUUUUGUGAAAAGAAUGGAAUAAUUCAUGAAGUAACCCCGCCUAAUUCACUUGAUUUAAAUGGAGUAGCCGAAAGAAAAAAUAGAACAUUGAAAGAGAUGAUGAACUCUAUGUUAGUUAGCUCUAAUGCUCUCGAUAAUUUGUGGGGUGAAGCUAUUUUAUCUGCAUGUCACUUAUAAAAUAGAAUACCACAUACAAGAACUGACAAAACUCUGUAUGAAUUGUGGAGGUGUUAUAAACCUAACUUGAAAUAUUUAAAAAUGUGGGCUUGCCUUGCUGAAGUUCUUUUGCUUGAACCUAAAAAGAGAAAAAUAGGUUUUGAAAUUGCUGAUUGUAUGCUUAUUGGAUAUGCUGAACAUAGUGCUGCAUAUAAAUUUCUUAUAAUAAAAAGUGAUGUGCUUGAUUACAAUACUAUAAUUGAGACAAAAAAUGCUGAGUUCUUUGAAUAUAUUUAUCCAUUGUCUAAUAAAAUUUCUCAUACACCUGUUGAAACAAAUAGUAAAAUUACCUGUAAUGAGGAACUGAGAAGGAGUAAAAAGCCUAGAAAAUAAUAUUUUUCUUAUGAAAAUAAUUUUCAAACUUUUCUUGUCAAUAAUGAACCAUUAAAUUAUUUUGAAGUUAUAUUCUUCUGAAGCUAAUUAUUGGAAAGAGGCAAUAAAAGUUGAAAUCCAUUCUAUUUUGAAAAAUAAAACAUGUAUUUUAACAGAUUUACCUCCUGGUACAAAGCCUGUUGGUUGUAAAUGGAUUUUCAAAAAGAAAUUUAAUCUCAAUGGAUCUUUACAUAAAUAUAAAGCUCGGUUAGUAGAAAAAGCAUUUUCUCAAAAAUAAAAUAUAGAUUAUUUUGAUACAUUUGCACCACUGACUAGAAUUUCUUCUAUUCAAGUUUUAAUUGCCUUAGCUUCAAUUCAUAAUCUUUUUAUCCAUCAAAUGGAUAUCAAAACAGUUUUUUUAAAUGUUGAUUUAGAAGAAGAAAUUUAUAUGGUUUAACCUGAAGGCUGUGUCAUUAUUGGGCAUGAAAAUAAAAUUUUUAAAUUAAUUAAAUCUCUUUAUGGCCUUAAAGAAGCUCCUAAGCAGUGGUAUGAGAAAUUUGAAUAAGUCUUACUGAGAGACAAUAUUUCCUCAAUUGAGGUAGAUAAAUGUAUUUGUACUAAAGUGGUAGACAAUGAUUAUGUGAUAAUAUGUCUAUAUGAUGAUGACAUGCUUAUAUUUGGUACAAAUUUAAAUAUUGUGCAAAGUAAAAAAUUAUUUGUGUCUACUAAUUUUGAUGUGAAAGAUCUGGGUGAAGUAAAUACAAUAUUGAAAGUUAAAGUUAUAAAGAAUGAAGAUAAAAUAAUGUUGUCACAAGAACAUUAUGUUGAGAGACUUCUUAAGAAGUUUGAAUAUUUUAAUGUCACAUCUGUGAGCACUCCUUUUGAUGCUAACUCUUAGUUAAAAAAAUAUAAUGGUGACCCAGUUGCUAGUCUAAAUAUGCGUAGAUUAUUGAGAGUCUGAUGCAUUUAAUGAAUUUUACAAGGCCUGAUAUAACCUAUGUUGUGUGUAGACUGAGUAGAUAUACUCAUAAUCCCAACAGAGAGCAUUGAUCUGCAUUAGAUUGACUAAUGAAAUAUUUGAAAGGAACCAUGAAUUAUGGUAUCCUAUAUAGUGGAUUUUCUUCUACUUUAGAAGGGUACAGUGAUGCAAACUGGAUCUCUGAUUCAGAUGAGACAAAAUUCAUUAGUGGUUAUGUAUUCACCCUUGGCGGUGGUGCAAUAUCGUGAAAAUCAGCUAAAUAGACAUUCAUUGCUGGAUUAACUAUGGAAUAAGAGUCUGUAGCUCUGGAGUUAGAUGGUUCUGAGGCUAAGUGCCUAAGAAACUUCUUAGCUAAUAUCCCUUUAAUGAAGGACGUAUUGCCUCCUGUGUCUAUGCAUUGUGAUUGUCAAGCGACAAUAGCUAUUGCAAAGAAUAAAUCUUAUAAUUAUAAAAUAGACACAUGAAACUGAGACAUAAUGUCAUAAAAUUGCUGUUGAGAUAUGGAAUAAUUUCCAUUGACUAUGUGAAGUCAGAGAUAAAUUUGGCAGAUCCUCUGACUAAAUCUGUGAGAAGAAAAUUAAUUCUUCAAACCUCAAAAGAGAUGAGGUUAAGGCCGAUAUGUUGUUAAUAGAGAUGAUAACCCAACCUAUGUGAUUGGAGAUCUCAUGAAGUAGGUUCAUGUGGGUAAUAACAAGUCUAUAUUGGCACUAAAACACUAAAAGAGAGUGCUUGAAUGCUACUAAUUGAGAGGCUGAGUUAUAACUCUUAAUUAAAUUCAUAGUUCUUAUGGAUGGUGUAUUUAAAAGCAGUAUACACUUGAUGAAUUCACCUAUAUGAGAGUGGAGUGGGCCGCUCCUAUGAAAUUUUGGCCUAGUCUUUAGAGCUCUCAUGAAUAACCAAGCACGCGCAUGGCCUAUUGGGCGCAAAAUCGUGUUGAACAACAAAAUUACCGAGGGUCAAAAUGUGAUUGAUAAAAUAUCUGGCUUACAAUAAGAAUUAUUGGUUCAUAGAAAUAUUAUAUUUCACCAGUAAUUCUGUGAGUUAAAUUUUAUUGGUCUAAGUUUGGUUCAUAGUCCAAAAGACACCAAACCUAUUAAAUUUGGACCAUGCAAAUCCAGUAAGUCAAUUCUUUCAUUCCUUUAUUCUUAUCCUAUAAAUUUUGAAAAUAUGUGUGGAUUGUGGGAGAAUUUUCAAAUUUUAACUAGCCAUGGGUCUUUUUUAUUUUACAAGUGUCCUAUCUAUUUCCAAGUGGCUUCUUGCAUAAAGCUUCGUGGCCAAAUACUCUUAGAUAAUUGGUACAUGAAAAGUACAAUUUGCGGAAACCAACACAGCCUAACAUCGGGGUGUCACCAGUCAUGAGCAUCUAACACAAAUCUAAGAGUAUGAAAGAGUUUAUAUAGUCUAUUACCGAAUUAGAACAAGGGAAGUAAAAUACGAGGGAGAAACACUAGGCUGGGAACGCCGAGCUACUACCUAGUGGACUCCGAAUAGCCUGCUGGGAGCAAUCAACCCUCAAUGGUGGGACCUGAAGCUCUUAAAUUUGCACACAGGGUGCAGGGAGUAAAGUGAGUACUCCAACUCAGUGAGUAAUAACAAUAAAUAAAGACUGAGCGAUAAGAAAUCACGUAAAACACAACAACAUGCUAUAAAGAGGUAGUGUAAAACCAAUAAAAAGCAAUAAAAUAGUGAAAUCUUAUAAAAACACCUUAGUUAAGUAUAAGCUUCUUUAAAACACAUUUUUAACAUCUAAACAAGUAAAUGAAAAGCAACAAGAAAGAUACACACAUAAAAUCCGCCCCUCGGGCACAAUGUUAACAAAAUCAGCCCCUCGAGCAAUAACAUGGAACAACACCAGCCCAUCGGGCUAUAUCACAUAUCACACUAGGUACCCGCGCUCACUAGGGGUGUACAGACUCCGGGAGGGGCCCCUUACGGCCCAAGCACAAUAUCAAGUCAUCUCGUGGCAUAAUCAAUAGGCUCUCGGCCUCACAUCAAGCCACAUUGUGGCGUACAACUUAGGCCCUCGACCUUAUAAUCAUAAUCAGUACAACACUGCUGCGGCCUGAAGCCUGAUCACAUAAUAAUCCUCACAACACAGGCCCUCGGCCAUACUCAGUCAGAAAUCUCUAAAAGCCACUCGGGCAAAGUAAAACAUGAUGCUCGGCCCCAAAAUAUCAUAUAAGAUGUCAAAACAGAAUAAACAUGGAUGGGUUAUAAAAACAAUAAAGUAUAGCAUGACUGAGUACAAGUAUAAAGUUAAAACAGUGAGGAAAUAGUAGUAAAAGUCCCCUAAGGAUCAAAACAGUUGGUACGAGGCCCAAAUAUGGCAUUCAGCCCAAAACAUGAUGAUAGCAAAUAAUUUUCAAUCAAAUAUGUAGUAAAAUAGUCAUACGGGAUGGACUAAGUCACAAUCUCCAACGGUGCACGACCCCAUGCUCAUCAUCUAGCAUAUGCGUCACCUCAAUACAACACAACAAUGUGAAAUCUGGGGUUUCAUACCCUUAGGACAACAUUUACAAUCAUUACUCACCUCUACCCGAUCCGAACUCUAGCCCACGAUGCCCUUGCCUCUCGAAUCGGCCUCCGGAUGCUCCAACUCUAACCAAAAUCACUGCAAACCCAUAGAAAUAUGCUAAGGUAACAAAGCCCACUCGAAAGAAAUCAAAUUACAACCCAAAUCCCAAAAUUGGCUAAAUAUGACCCCCAGGCCCACAUCUCGGAAUCCAAUUAAAAUUACAUCAAUAGACUCCUUAUCACUCCCCGAGUUCAUUCAUAUCAAAAUCACCAAAAUCCAACCACAAACGACCCCUCAAAUCCCAAAUUCUAGGUCUCCAAUUACAAGCCCUAGUUCUUCAAUAUUUAGGCUUAAAUUCUAGAAAUUCCAUGGUUAAUUAGGUAGAAAUCACAUUAUAAUUGAGUAUUAAAUCCGUAAAUCUUACCUCCAAGUUUUCCCCCUUGAUUCCCUCUUCAAUCGUCUUCAAAAAGCUUCAAAAUCACCCAAAAAUGGAGGAACUUAUGCUCAAAAUCACGGAAUAGGCCUUUUAAACAUUCUACCCAGCUAUUUCAAUUCCUUCUUUGCGAAUUCGGUCAACGCCUUGCAUUCGCGAAUCGUAAACUUAAGUUGACAAAUUUUCCUUCUUCGCGAACACGUCUCUCCUCUCGCGAACGUAAAGGCUCAACUUCCCAGCCAAUCGCGAAUGCAGCUCCCAUCUCGCAAACGCGUAGCUUGAUGCCCCCAACCCUUCGCGAACGCGGGACCUCCCUCGCGAACGUGAAGGCCAAACCUUUAGCCUCACAUUCUAGCCCUUAGCGAACAUGAAGGUCCACUCACGAACGCGAAGCACUACUGUUUGCAACACUACAACAAAUGUUUCUGCAAUUUAUUCAACAUGAAAUGGUCCGUUUGACCACCCAAAACUCACCUGAGGCCCUCGGGACCUCAACCAAACAUGGCAACAUGUCCCAUAACAUCAUUCAAACUUGUUCCAACCUUUGGAACGCUCAAAACAACAUCAAAACACCAAAUUUGCAUCGGAUUCAAGCCUAAGAAUUCUAAAAACUUCCAAAUUCCGCUUUUGAUCAAAAAGUCUACCAAACCACGUCCGAAUGACCUAAAUCCCAAAUGACACAAAGGACCUACUGCAACUCCCUAAAUUCCAUUCCGAACCCUAUAUCAAAAUCUCACCUAUCAACCGGAAAUCGCCAAAAUUCCAAUUUUGCCAAUUCAAGCCUAAAUCCACUCCUGACCUCCAAAACACAUUCCGAUCACGCUCCUAAGUCCCAAAUCACCUCCCGAAGCUAUCCGAACCAUCAGAAAUCACAUCUGAUACCUUUAACACAUAAGUCAACAUCCGGUUGACUUUUUCAACUUAAGCUUCCUCAAAAUAGACUAAGUGUCUCAAACCUUACCUAAACCUCUCCGAACCCGAGUCAACCAACCUGAUAAUACAAAAUACAACUGAACAAGGCAAUAAGAAGCAAAAAUUGGGGAAAUGGAGCGGUAACUCAUAAAACGACCGGUCGGGUCGUUACAUCCUCUCCCUCUAAAACAAAUGUUCAUCCUCGAACGAGUCAAGAAACACACCGGAUACCUCAAAUAUGAGAGGAUAUCUUCUCCGCAUAUCCCCUUCGGUCUGCCAGGAAGCCUCCUCCACGAGCCGACCUCUCCACUGCACUUUCAUUUAAAUUAUAUCCUUUGACCUCAACUUUCGAACCUGAUGCUCCAAAAUAGCUACUGGCUUCACAUCAUAAGUCAAAUCAUCAUCUAGUUGAACCGUGCUAAAAUCUAAAACGUAAGACGGAUCCCUAAUAUAUUUCCGGAGAAUAGAAACAUGAAAUACCAGAUGCACACUUGACAAGCUGGGUGGCAAAGCAAGCUCAUAAGCCACCUCCCCAAUCCUCCGAAGCACCUCAAACGGCCCAAUGAACCGAGGACUCAAUUGACCCUUCUUACCAAAUCUCAUAACACCCUUCAUGGAUGAACGCUUCAACAGAACCUUCUCACCAACCAUGUAGGAUACAUCCCGAAUCUUCCGGUCAGCAUAACUCUUUUGUCUCGACUGCCCAUUAUGAAGCCUCUCCUGAAUUACCUUCACCUUUUCUAAAGUAUCCUGCACCAAGUCUGUCCCCAAUAGCCUAGCCUCACCCGGCCCAAACCAACCAACUGGAGAUCUACACCGCCUCCCAUACAAAGCCUCAUAUGGAGCCAUUUGAAUGCUCGACUGGUAGCUAUUGUUAUAAGCAAACUCCGCGAGCGGUAGAAACUGAUUCCAUGACCCUCUAAAAUCAAUAACACAAGCACACAAUAUGUCCUCCAAUAUCUGAAUAGUGUGCUCGGACUGCCCCUCCAUCUGAGGGUGAAAAACGUGCUCAACUCAACUUGAGUACCCAACUCUCGCUGCACAGACCUCCAAAACUGCAAGGUAAAUUGAGUGCCCCUAUCUGAAAUGAUGGAAAAUAGGACAUCAUACAAACAAACAAUCUCCUGGAUAUAGAUCUUUGCCAACCGCUCUAAAGUAUAGGUAGUACACACAGGAAUGAAGUGCACGGACUUGGUCAGCUGAUCCACAAUCAUCCAAAUAGCAUCGGACUUCUGCAAAGUCCGUGAGAGCCCAACUACAAAGUCCAUGGUGAUACACUCCCACUUCCACUCUAGAAUAUCCAUUUGUUGAAGCAAGCCACCCGGUCUCUGAUGCUCAUAUUUCACCAGCUGACAAUUGAGACACUAAGACACAAAUCCCACAAUGUCCUUCUUCAUUCUCCUCCAGCAAUAAUGUUGUCUUAGAUCUUGAUACAUCUUUGCAGCACCAGGAUGAAUGGAAUACCGCGAGCUAUGGGCCUCCUCCAGAAUCAAAUCCCGAAGACUAUCUAUAUUGGGCACACAUAUCCGGCCCUGCAUCCUCAACACCCCAUCAUCAUCAACAGUCACAUCUCUGGCAUUAUCGUGCUGAACUUUGUCCUUAAGGACUAGCAAAUGAGGAUCAUCAUAUUGGCGCUCUCUGAUACGAUGAAAUAAAGGAAGACCGAGAAAUCACACAAGCCAAUACCCGACUGGGAUCCGAAAUAUCCAACCUCACGAACCAAUUGGCCAAGGCCUGAACAUCAACUGGAAGAGGUCUCUCCCCAACUGGAAUAUAUGCCAAACUCCCCAUACUCGCGCCUUCUUACUCAAAGCAUCGGCCACCACAUUGGCCUUUCCCGAAUGGUACAAAAUAGUAAUAUCAUAAUCCUUUAGCAACUCCAACCAUCUCCGCUAUCUCAAAUCGAGAUCUUUCUGCUUGAACAAGUGCUGGAGGCUAUGAUGAUCAGUAAAAAACUCACAAGACACACCAUACAAAUAAUGCCUCCAAAUCUUCAACGCGUGAACAAUGGCAGCCAACUCCAAAUCGUGAACAGGGUAGUUCUUCUCAUGGGGCUUCAACUGACGAGAAGCAUAAGCAAUAACUUUACCCUCCUGCAUCAACACACACCCAAUACCAACUCUCAAAGCAUUACAAUAUACGGUAUAUGAACCUGAAGCUGAUGGCAAAACAAAUAUUGGAGUUGUGGUCAAGGCAGUCUUAAGCUUCUGAAAGCUCUCCUCACACUCAUUUGACCACUUGAAUAGAGCACCCUUUUGAGUCAACUUGGUCAAGGGCGAUGCGAAAGAUGCGAAUCCCUGAACAAACCGGCGGUAAUAACCCGCCAAACCAAGAAAGAUACGAAUCUCUGUGGCCGAGGACGAUCUGGAUCAACUCUGAACAGCCUCUAUCUUCUUCGGAUCAACCUGAUACCCUCACUGGACACCACGUGCCCCAAGAAAGCCACUGAACUGAGCUAAAACUCACAGUUGGAGAACUUUGCAUAAAGCUUCUCCUCCCUCAAUCUCUGCAACACAACUCUCAAAUGCUCCGCGUGCACCUUCUGACUAUGCGAAUACACCAGAAUAUCAUCAAUGAAAACUAUGAUGAACGAGUCGAGAUACGGUCGGAACAUAUUGUUCAUCAAAUGCAUAAACGCUGCUGGGGCAUUGGCCAGCCCAAAAGACAUCACCAAUAACUCAUAAUGACCAUAUCGGGUCCUGAAAACCGUCUUAAGAAUAUCCAAGUCCCUGAUCUUCAACUAGUGAUAACCUGAACAGAGAUCAAUCUUGGAGAACACUCUCGCUCCCUGAAGCUGCUCAAACAAAUCAUUGAUACAAGGCAAAGGAUAAUUGUUCUUGAUUGUUAUUUUGUUCAACUGCUUGUAAUCAAUGCAUAUCCUCAUAGUUCCAUCCUUCUUCACAAAUAAAACCGGUGCACCCCAAGGCGAUACACUAGGCCGAAUGAACCCCAUAUCAAGGAGUUCCUGAAACUGCUCCUUUAACUCCUUCAACUCCGAUGGUGCCAUAAGAUACAGUGGAAUAGAAAUGGGCUGAGUUCCCAGCACCAGAUCAAUACAAAAAUCACUAUCCUUGUCCGGUGGCAUGCCUGGCACGUCAGCAGGAAACACAUCGGGAAACUCCCUCACAACAUGAAUAGAAUCAAUACUUGGAGUCUCUGCACCGACAUCCCUAACAAAGGCUAGAUAUGAAAGACAACCCUUCCCAACCAUCCGCUUGGCCUUCAAGAAUGAAAUUACCCUAUUGGAAACAUAAUCAGUCGAACCUCGCCACUCAAUCCGUGGCACACCUAACAUAGCCAAUGUCAUUGUCUUAGCAUGACUGUCCAAAAUAGCACGACACGAAGAUACCAAUACAUGCCCAAUAAAACAUCGAAGUCUACCAUACAUAACAAAAACAGAUCCACUCGAGUCUCCAGACCCCCAAUAGUCACCACAUAUGACCGGUACAUGCGAUCUACAACAACAGUAUCGCCCACCGGAGUAGAUACACGAACAGAUGAAACGAGAGACUCACAGGGUAUAUCUAAAUAACGAGCAAAGUAUUAUGACACAUAAGAAUAAGUGGAACCGGGAUCAAAUAAUACAGAGGCAUCUCUGUGGCAGUCUGAGAUAAUACCUGUGAUCACGGAGUCUGAAGCAAUAGCAUCGGGUAUGUCAUACCUCCUUUUUCCUACAACCUCGUAAGGGAGUAUAAAGGGAGUUUUUUCAACUUAAAGUGAAAAUCGAAACGAGAUUAUUUAUUUAUUAAACUCAGAGUCGCCACUUGGGAUAAAUUAUGGUGUCCCAAGUCACCGGUUCAAAUCCCAAAUCGAGGAAAAGAUUGAUUCUGUAUUACAGUAUGCGAACAUAGAAAUCGGGGUAAGGAAUUCUGUUAACUCGGGAGAAGGUGUUAGGCAUUCCCGAGUUUCGUGGUUCUAGCACGGUUGCUCAACUGUUAUAAUUUGCCUAUUAUCUGAUUUUAAUACAUGUUUUAGCCUAUGGUGCCAUUUUAACUUAUUAACCGCUCUUAUUCAUUUUUAGGAAGAUUGUAACGUCAUUUAAAAUAUGUCUUGAACCACGUCACAUAAAUGCACCCGCAGUCCGCAACACAUUUUAUAUAACAUUGUCGAGAUUUGGAUUUGGGUCACAUAAAUGCGCACCCGAGUUUAGGAAGGUAAAUUAUUAAAUAGCGCGUCUAAAGAAACUACGAUGCAUUCAUUUCCUAUACUAAUCUAUUAUGGAGGUCAUGAUUUAAGGAUUGAACUACAGUACGCCCGCUAUUUUACAUUGUAACAAGACUAAGAAAUUUCAACACUUUUAUCUAUUUUUUUAAUCCUUAAGCAAAUGAUGUUGUAUCUACUAUCUACUAUAUUUACAUCCUCAUUUCACACCAAAAAGCUAAAAGACAAAUAUAUAUAUAUGUAUUAUAAAAUAUGUUGUUCCCUACUUUGCUGUCAAAGCAUAAGUUCCAUUUUUUCCAUAUAAUCCAUCUUAUAUUAUCUCAAAUAAAUAGCAACAACAAUAAGUGAAACAAAAUAUAAGAAUGGAAAUAAAAUUAAUUUUAAGGUGAAAUAUAGGUAAACAAAAAGAUCACAUAUAAGACAAAUCACAAACAUUAUUAAUAAAUCAUUUUAAAAGAGAGGACAGAAACAUUCGCAUUUUUGGAUUCAUGAUUUUUGACGCCAAAGUUUAUAAAUUCAAGCUAACCUUACCUGCCAAAUCAUUUUUCAUUAAUCUCACGCCUAAUUUUCAACCCCUGUCAGUGGAUACCAUUCCAAUUCUCUUUAACAAAAUUUAAAUUGCUUUGUCACAUUUAACAAGUAAAUAGUAGCAUAGUUUCAUGUAGUCACUAAACACAAUAUAGGCAUGAAAGGCAAUAACAAUGAAGAUAGACCGAACAAAACAUAAACAUGAAGAAUGGAUUAUCUACUAACUCAAACCACAAACAAGGUAAGGCAACAGAGGAUUCAUGACAAUAAAUUAGAAUGAAAGUAGAGAAGGAACAGAAAUGACAGACCUUUUAUAUACAUGGAAAUUUAUUGACUACAAAGAUGUGAGCUCGACGUGAGAAUUCAAACAAAACCGAACCAGGCACGGAGAACUCGCCGACGACCUCGAACAAGGAUCUGGACAAAAAUUAUAGCGACUCGACUAGAUUUGGACAGCUAUUUCGAGUGUAAAGGAAUCGGUUCGAUGGAUGUUUGCGGCUGGUUUUGGACGGCAUUUCAUUGGAUAUCUGGUGCUAAUUUUGGGACAGUUCUUUUGGGAUUUUUGGACUGUUUUUUCAGCAAUUUCGCAGCUGGUUUGGCUCCUCUUUAGAGCUCUUUUGCGGACAGUUUUUGAGGCUAGUUUGGGUGACGUUUUUGGGGUUGAAUUUCAGCUUGGUUUAGGGCUCUUUUCGUGGUGGUUUCGGGUGUUUCAGGGGUGUUUGAGCUGAAGUUUUUGAGGUUGAAAAGCUAUGGAUGAAGCUAGUUUUUGGGUGAAGCAACAACGGGUUUCAGCUACGUUUUCUUUUGGAUGCUUUUGGCUGCUUCUUAUUACUGAUUUUAGAGGGUCCUGUGGUUACUUUUGUCAUGAGAAGGGAUGGCCUUAUAUGGCUAUGAAAAUUUGAUGGAAAAAGAGAAUGAAGUUUCCACCAGGAAGAAGAAGCAAAGAAUGGCGGAUGCUCCUCUUCAAUCCAAUUGUUGCCGCUGUUUUUUAGUCUAUAUCUAGAUCCUCAAAACGGCGGAUCUAUUUUUU